RNAcentral lists this ribosomal RNA (452 nucleotides) under uncultured bacterium. Its description in RNAcentral is "bacterial SSU rRNA". It matches the Rfam family "Bacterial small subunit ribosomal RNA", at positions 365 to 807 of the family's 1533-position model. The record is from RNAcentral.
UUCGCAAUGCCCGAAAGGGUGACGAAGCGACGCCGCGUGUGGGAAGAAGGCCUUCGGGUUGUAAACCACUGUCGGGAGUUAAGAAAUGCAAGAAUGUUAAUAGCGUUUUUGCUUGACUAAGGCUCCGGAGGAAGCCACGGCUAACUCUGUGCCAGCAGCCGCGGUAAUACAGAGGCGGCAAGCGUUGUUCGGGAUUAUUGGGCGUAAAGAGCACGUAGGCGGCCUUGUAAGUCAGUUGUGAAAGCCUUCUGCUUAACGGAAGAACAGCAGCUGAUACUGCAAGGCUAGAGUGCGGAAGGGGAGAGUGGAACUUCUGGUGGAGCGGUGAAAUGCGUAGAUAUCAGAAGGAACACCGGCGGCGAAGGCGACUCUCUGGUCCGUAACUGACGCUGAGUGUGCGAAAGCUAGGGGAGCAAACGGGAUUAGAUACCCCGGUAGUCCUAGCCGUAAAC